GAUGAAUGCUGGCGGCGUGCCUAAUACAUGCAAGUCGAGCGAACAGACGAGGAGCUUGCUCCUCUGACGUUAGCGGCGGACGGGUGAGUAACACGUGGAUAACCUACCUAUAAGACUGGGAUAACUUCGGGAAACCGGAGCUAAUACCGGAUAAUAUAUUGAACCGCAUGGUUCAAUAGUUAAAGACGGUUUUGCUGUCACUUAUAGAUGGAUCCGCGCCGCAUUAGCUAGUUGGUAAGGUAACGGCUUACCAAGGCAACGAUGCGUAGCCGACCUGAGAGGGUGAUCGGCCACACUGGAACUGAGACACGGUCCAGACUCCUACGGGAGGCAGCAGUAGGGAAUCUUCCGCAAUGGGCGAAAGCCUGACGGAGCAACGCCGCGUGAGUGAUGAAGGUCUUCGGAUCGUAAAACUCUGUUAUUAGGGAAGAACAAAUGUGUAAGUAACUAUGCACGUCUUGACGGUACCUAAUCAGAAAGCCACGGCUAACUACGUG
Molecule: ribosomal RNA, 497 nt
Filed under: uncultured bacterium
Lineage: Bacteria
Description: partial 16S ribosomal RNA
Rfam family: Bacterial small subunit ribosomal RNA
Source: RNAcentral